UGGCAAACUGGCCAACACCAGGUGAAUUGGU
RNAcentral lists this non-coding RNA (31 nucleotides) under Mus musculus (house mouse). The record is from RNAcentral. Lineage: Eukaryota; Metazoa; Chordata; Mammalia; Rodentia; Muridae.